RNAcentral lists this ribosomal RNA (264 nucleotides) under uncultured bacterium. Its description in RNAcentral is "partial 16S ribosomal RNA". It matches the Rfam family "Bacterial small subunit ribosomal RNA", at positions 793 to 1055 of the family's 1533-position model. The record is from RNAcentral.
GUCCACGCCCUAAACGAUGUCAACUAGGUGUUGGGGAGGAGACUUCCUUAGUACCGUAGCUAACGCGUGAAGUUGACCGCCUGGGGAGUACGGUCGCAAGAUUAAAACUCAAAGGAAUUGACGGGACCCGCACAAGCGGUGGAUUAUGUGGAUUAAUUCGAUGCAACGCGAAAACCUUACCUACCCUUGACAUGUCAGGAACUUUCCAGAGAUGGAUUGGUGCCCCGAAAGGGAACCUGAACACAGGUGCUGCAUGGCUGUCGU